RNAcentral lists this unclassified non-coding RNA (335 nucleotides) under soil metagenome. Its description in RNAcentral is "partial contains 5.8S ribosomal RNA, internal transcribed spacer 2, and large subunit ribosomal RNA". The stretch from base 1 to 120 matches the Rfam family "5.8S ribosomal RNA", at positions 35 to 154 of the family's 154-position model. The record is from RNAcentral.
GAUGAAGAACGUAGUGAAAUGCGAUAAGUAAUGUGAAUUGCAGAAUUCCGUGAAUCAUCGAAUCUUUGAACGCACAUUGCGCCCCCUGGUAUUCCGGGGGGCAUGCCUGUCCGAGCGUCAUUGCAACCCUCAAGCACGGCUUGCGUGUUGGGCGCCGUCCCCCGUGGACGCGCCCGAAAGGCAGUGGCGGUACCGUGCUCCGGUGCCCGAGCGUAUGGGCUUAAAACCCGCUCUUGUGGCCCGGCCGGCGCUGGCCUCGACCCCCAACUUUACAAGGUUGACCUCGGAUCAGGUAGGGAUACCCGCUGAACUUAAGCAUAUCAAUAAGCGGAGGA